UACAGAGGGUGCAAGCGUUAAUCGGAAUCAUUGGGCGUAAAGCGAGCGUAGGCGGCCCGAUAAGUCUGCUGUAAAAGUCAACGGCUCAACCGUUGAAAGCCGGUGGAUACUGUCGGGCUAGAGUUCGGAAGAGGCAAGUGGAAUUCCUGGUGUAGCGGUGGAAUGCGCAGAUAUCAGGAGGAACACCUAUAGCGAAGGCAGCUUGCUGGGACGAUACUGACGCUAAGGCUCGAAAGCGUGGGGAGCGAACAGG
Molecule: ribosomal RNA, 253 nt
Filed under: uncultured bacterium
Lineage: Bacteria
Description: partial 16S ribosomal RNA
Rfam family: Bacterial small subunit ribosomal RNA
Source: RNAcentral